This 253-nucleotide ribosomal RNA is filed under the name uncultured bacterium. RNAcentral describes it as "partial 16S ribosomal RNA". It matches the Rfam family "Bacterial small subunit ribosomal RNA", at positions 524 to 776 of the family's 1533-position model. The record is from RNAcentral.
UACGGGGGGGGCAAGCGUUGUUCGGAAUUACUGGGCGUAAAGGGCUCGUAGGCGGCCAACUAAGUCAGACGUGAGAUCCCCAGGCUUAACCUGGGAACUGCGUCUGAUACUGGAUGGCUUGAAUUCGGGAGAGGGAUGCAGAAUUCCAGGUGUAGCGGUGAAAUGCGUAGAUAUCUGGAGGAAUACCGGUGGCGAAGGCGGCAUCCUGGACCGACAUUGACGCUGAGGAGCGAAAGCUAGGGGAGCAAACGGG